ACAUUGACUCUGGUUCUUGGGAGCGAGCUCGGGGGGUCUGCCCCGCUGCACCUUGAGGAUCACCCAGGCUGCUCCUCAGCUCCUUCCCAGCUGGGACACUCCAGGCAGGGAGCUGGGGCCACCCUGCACAUCCAGGGGAGCCUCUCCAAGGCAAGGAGCAGGAAACUCUCCCAGGGAGAAAAGGAUCCCUGGAAAAAGCUGAAAUCUAAUCCUACCUUGGUUAACAUAACAGAGAGAACAGGAAGCGCUGUGAAGGAAUUUUUCAUUCCCUGGGACGUCUUUGAUCCCGCUCCCCUCCCUUUUCCUAUCAGGGAUGAAAAGCUGCCCUGCAUUGAGAUUUUGCUGUUGUGUAAGCCGGAACCUGAGAACUCCAGAAUCCAGGAGGGAAUCCGAAUAAAAUUCACCAAUUUUUUUGGUGGAAAACCAAUCAUGGCUUUGCUUCAGCACAGGCAAGGGGCAUUCAAACAUUGCAGCAACCCCAAACAAACCCUUCAAGCAUUUUCUGCUGCAGCCACCUCUUUUUGUCACUCAGUUUGACUUCCUGACAUAGGGAGGGAAUUUUCUUUCACCAUUCUCCAUCUCGGUUUGUGCCCACCUAAAAUUUGCAAAGCUCCAAGCAAAUUAUUGUCUGAUUAAUAUUUGGGGUUCUGGAGGAAUGUGUCCAGCCUUUUUCCAGUCCCACGUGGAAUGCAAGGCUGCAUCUCUGCUUUGGGCAGUAAAACAAGUCAUAAUUAAAAUAUUUAUGAUCCUGAAAGGGCUGGAUUACCACAGAGCAGCCUCCUGCUCAUAACCAGGACAAGUCUGGAGCACUCCAAAGCAGGAGAAAACAUAAAAAUCAUAAAAAUGACACCAAGAUCAUCUCAGAGCAACACCACAGCCCCUCUGCCUGCAGAGGGGUAAAACACACAUCCAAAACAAUGCAAUAUUUCUGUGGAAGUGUUGUAUCUUUAUUCCUUUUUCUACUCUUCAUCCACACUUUUGCUGUUGCGGUUCCACUUAUCCCACAGAUCACCAGGAAAUAAAAUUUCAUCCUCAACUCCCUUCUCUUCA
Molecule: long non-coding RNA, 1050 nt
Filed under: Cyanistes caeruleus (blue tit)
Lineage: Eukaryota; Metazoa; Chordata; Aves; Passeriformes; Paridae
Description: lncRNA (ENSCCEG00000017800.1)
Source: RNAcentral